This 1244-nucleotide long non-coding RNA is filed under the name Marmota monax (woodchuck). Lineage: Eukaryota; Metazoa; Chordata; Mammalia; Rodentia; Sciuridae. The record is from RNAcentral.
AAGAUUUGGGGCUUUUAGAGAUAAACAUGAAUGGUAGAGAAGAUGGAGAUGUUAGAAGCACUUUCUGCUCUCCAUCAAAGUUGGAAAAAAAAAAAUCUCCAUUUUUUGAUCUUACUGUUGAGCACACACUUUUUAUAUUUUUGGCUUAGUAUUGCCAAGAUGGGAUCCUGGGGUACAUUCAAGCUUGCAUUAUCACAUUGAGCAUGGGUGAAAUGAAAGUAGUUUAUGAUGGAGGUUUUAUGUGAAUGGGUGCUUUUUGCCUAGUACAGUGCUUGGUGCCCUGGUGUUUGAUUAUGGAAUCAGGAGCUUAAUUAUGGAAUAGAUUGAUCAUAUCCUGAGAAAGCAGUGUAGUUUGUUGAUGGAGAGCUUGGGCUCUGAGCCAGAGUACUUAAGUCUGCAUCUUGAUUUACCACUAACUCUGUAGCGUGUAGCUUAGGGCAAGUCACCUUUCUGUGUCUUAGUUUUCACAUCUGUAAAAUGAACCUAAAGUACCCACUUUGUGGGGGUGCUAAUUAACAUUAAGUAGGCUAAUAGAAGAGAGCUUUGUGUGGUAGACACUCAUAAAUGCCAGCCAUUAUAAUCAUCUCAGAGGGCACAGCAACUGCUUGAUACCCAAAAGGCAGUUAGCACCAACUAAAAUACAUCGAGACUAGUUGUGGGAACAUAUUACCUCUGCCACUGCACAGGGACAAAAAAGUCUCAUCCUCUGGAAGUUAAUUGUAGGGCACAGAAAUAAAGUGGGCUACUCCAAAAUCUAGUAAGUGGGUAGAUAGCACACCUUCCAUUAUAAGCUCAGCUUCAACUAAGCAAUGACAUUUAGCCACACAGGCCCAGAUAAAAGUCUUUUGAAAUUUUGAUUUUACUUAGAUUUACAACCUGACUCUAGACCUGACUUGGGAAAAGAUGGUUUCUGUAUCUUUAAGAAAUAGAUACAAGGAAGGAACUCUCUUCAUAAUGAAGCCUCCCAUGGCUUCCCCUGAAGACCUUUGAGAUACAACUUUAGUAGGGCAAGGUUUGCAGAGCUUCUCAGUACAAGCUUCCAAGGCCAGGAUGGAGAGACAUUGUCAGGAUGGGACUUCUACUGAUGACUUUCUCAACUGAGAAAUUGGGGGAGGAAGUGUCUGAAUAAAGUGAUCACUCUUUGUUCCCUUCUCAUUAGUGUCUGUUGCAAUCCUUUUCUGCAUCCUGAACUUCACUGGAAUGUGCUUUUUAACCUGAUUCAGUCAGAAAUGUGUAACUACUCC